RNAcentral lists this transfer RNA (77 nucleotides) under Thiohalophilaceae bacterium. Its description in RNAcentral is "tRNA-Arg". It matches the Rfam family "tRNA". From Rfam's summary of the family: Transfer RNA (tRNA) molecules are approximately 80 nucleotides in length. RNAcentral also lists the same sequence under 1 other name. The record is from RNAcentral. Lineage: Bacteria; Pseudomonadati; Pseudomonadota; Gammaproteobacteria; Thiohalomonadales; Thiohalophilaceae.
GCCCCUGUAGCUCAGCUGAAUAGAGUGGCCCCCUCCUAAGGGGCAGGUCACAGGUUUGAAUCCUGUCGGGGGCACCA